CCCUGCGAGUUCCAGGAGUGAAACUCCGGCAGACCACACGGGUCCGGAAAGACGAAAGUUUACACCUAGAGGAGGGUAUUACGCCUGGUGGUCAUCCCGUGUCCCAAGGAAACCCACGA
This is a non-coding RNA of Meleagris gallopavo (turkey), 119 nucleotides long. The record is from RefSeq and is a predicted model, not a curated record. Lineage: Eukaryota; Metazoa; Chordata; Aves; Galliformes; Phasianidae.